AUUCAGAACUCGCUGAAGCUCUGGUGCAGUGAUGCAGCCUGGCCCCGUUGUGGUAUUUCCACCGGUUCCCACAGGACUUGGGGUUUGCAGUGGGCUUGAUAUUUUGGUCCCUUGGGGCCUUCCUGCUCUUCUCUCAAAAUCUGCAGACACAAGACUGCCUGCUCUGCCUUGAGAGUUGCUACUGCCAGUGGUGCUGUCUUUGCCCUCCUGAAACCUCUGGGGAUAGAGUUGCUGUGCUGGCUCUCUGCGCUCGGAAAACUCAUGGGGUGGAUUCCCAUUAAAACUCAUUAAUGGACUCCCAUUAAAACUUCUGCUGCUAGCGUGGGCUUCCUUAUCAGAAAAUGUGAAACUGGGCAAAGGCAUGCCAUAUAAUCUCCUAGGAGGUAGCCAGUGACUACAACCUGUUUUCUAAAGCAAUGCCUCCUGGACCGGUUGUGAUCAUCUCUCAGGGUGGCAUCUUAUUUGUGCAUGCCUGAGCCUUGGUGUCUGCCAGACACACUAAAUGUGGUUAACUGCAAAGAAACUCACUGUUCUCUCACAUUUACCGUUUAUCACAAGGCCAGCAAGGUGAACUAUCUACAGGAGCUGCACGGGGACAAGUUUAGUGCCCAACAUCUUCAGAAUAACAGUACUGGAAGCAGCUGAAGGCAGGAGAAUUAACAAGUGGUGGGAGACGUAAGACCAAUUUUAGGAGCUCCAGGCUUGUUCCUUAGUUCUUAAGUAAUGUUUGAAAGAUGACUGGAGAUGCUCAUCAUGAAGGUGUCCUGUUCCUGAUUUCCACUUCCAGACAUGGAAAGACCACGCUGUGUCCAGGGAAACCGGGAGCCCUAGGGAGGACCAAGGGCUGAUGUUUCGUUUAUGGUGUGGCACUGUCCUGGAUGCCGCAGGUCAUGCGAACAUCCUGCUUGAAAGUUUCAUCUCCGUUCCCCUGUGGAGCUGAUUAAAGGACUCCUCCGCCUCUUGCAAAACCUAGCACUUAUAAAUCUCUGCUGUUGGAUGCCAUAUCCAUACUGAGGUGGUGUUAAGUCAUAAGUCACUGGGGGUCCAUAGCAUUGCUUCAGGGAGACACAGUGGCUUUUUGCCCAAAGGCUGUUUCAACAAGUGAAUAAUUUUUAGAAGAGUUACUGAGCAGGUGGAUCUCAAGGACCAGCCAGACUCAUAGUUUAAUGCAUGGUUGUACACAUACACACCUAUACAUACAUACUUUGCUAUUCAAGGAGUAGUUCUGUUUGUUGAGGAAAGCCUAAAAUUGAACCAGAUCAAUGAAGUAACUUCAUCACUGAGUGCCGCAGCAUCCCUGAGCCUUG
This 1307-nucleotide long non-coding RNA is filed under the name Apteryx owenii (little spotted kiwi). Its description in RNAcentral is "lncRNA (ENSAOWG00000016962.1)". The record is from RNAcentral. Lineage: Eukaryota; Metazoa; Chordata; Aves; Apterygiformes; Apterygidae.